GACGAACGCUGGCGGCGUGCUUAACACAUGCAAGUCGAACGGAAAGGCCCUGCUUUUGUGGGGUGUUCGAGUGGCGAACGGGUGAGUAACACGCGAGUAACCUGUCCUUGACUUUGGGAUAACUUCAGGAAACUGGGGCUCAUACCGGAUAGGAGCUCCUGCUGCAUGGUGGGGGUUGGAAAGUUUCGGCGGUUGGGGAUGGACUCGCGGCUUAUCAGCUUGUUGGUGGGGUAGUGGCUUACCAAGGCUUUGACGGGUAGCCGGCCUGAGAGGGUGACCGGCCACAUUGGGACUGAGAUACGGCCCAGACUCCUACGGGAGGCAGCAGUGGAGAAUAUUGCACAAUGGGCGGAAGCCUGAUGCAGCAACGCCGCGUGCGGGAUGACGGCCUUCGGGUUGUAAACCGCUUUCGCCUGUGACGAAGCGUGAGUGACGGUAAUGGGUAAAGAAGCACCGGCUAACUACGUG
RNAcentral lists this ribosomal RNA (468 nucleotides) under uncultured bacterium. Its description in RNAcentral is "partial 16S ribosomal RNA". It matches the Rfam family "Bacterial small subunit ribosomal RNA", at positions 28 to 507 of the family's 1533-position model. The record is from RNAcentral.